This 81-nucleotide ribosomal RNA is filed under the name Maxillaria bicallosa. RNAcentral describes it as "partial 26S ribosomal RNA". It matches the Rfam family "Eukaryotic large subunit ribosomal RNA", at positions 1 to 80 of the family's 3401-position model. The record is from RNAcentral. Lineage: Eukaryota; Viridiplantae; Streptophyta; Magnoliopsida; Asparagales; Orchidaceae.
GCGACCCCAGGAUGGGCGAGGCCACCCGCCGAGUUUAAGCAUAUCAAUAAGCGGAGGAGAAGAAACUUACGAGGAUUCCCU